RNAcentral lists this ribosomal RNA (460 nucleotides) under uncultured bacterium. RNAcentral describes it as "partial 16S ribosomal RNA". It matches the Rfam family "Bacterial small subunit ribosomal RNA", at positions 338 to 795 of the family's 1533-position model. The record is from RNAcentral.
CCUACGGGAGGCUGCAGUGAGGAAUAUUGGUCAAUGGGCGCGAGCCUGAACCAGCCAAGUAGCGUGAAGGAUGACUGCCCUACGGGUUGUAAACUGCUUUUGUACGAGGGUAAACGCAGAUACGCGUAUCUGUCUGAAAGUAUCGUACGAAUAAGGAUCGGCUAACUCCGUGCCAGCAGCCGCGGUAAUACGGAGGAUUCGAGCGUUAUCCGGAUUUAUUGGGUUUAAAGGGUGCGUAGGUGGGUGGUUAAGUUAGAUGUGAAAGUCCGAGGCUCAACUUUGGAAUUGCAACUGAUACUGGUAGGCUAGAGAGCAGUUGCGGUAGGCGGAAUGUAUGGUGUAGCGGUGAAAUGCUUAGAGAUCAUACAGAACACCGAUUGCGAAGGCAGCCUACUAAGCUACCUCUGACAUUGAGGCACGAAAGUGUGGGGAGCAAACAGGAUUAGAUACCCGAGUAGUC